This 398-nucleotide ribosomal RNA is filed under the name uncultured bacterium. RNAcentral's name for it is "bacterial SSU rRNA". It matches the Rfam family "Bacterial small subunit ribosomal RNA", at positions 361 to 773 of the family's 1533-position model. The record is from RNAcentral.
AUAUUGGACAAUGGGGGGAACCCUGAUCCAGCGACGCCGCGUGAGUGAAGAAGUAUUUCGGUAUGUAAAGCUCUGUCAGCAGGGAAGAAAGAAAUGACGGUACCUGACCAAGAAGCCCCGGCUAACUACGUGCCAGCAGCCGCGGUAAUACGUAGGGGACAAGCGUUAUCCGGAAUUACUGGGUGUAAAGGGAGCGUAGACGGUGAUGCAAGUCUGGAGUGAAAGGCGGGGGCCCAACCCCCGGACUGCUCUGGAAACUGUGUAACUUGAGUGCAGGAGAGGUAAGCGGAAUUCCUAGUGUAGCGGUGAAAUGCGUAGAUAUUGGGAGGAACACCAGUGGCGAAGGCGGCUUACUGGACUGUAACUGACGUUGAGGCUCGAAAGCGUGGGGAGCAAAC